GGGCUUGUGGUUUAGGGGUAUAAUUUCUUCUUAGCAUGGAGAAGGUCCCGUAAGUUCGAAUCCCGCUGUAACCA
Tothia fuscella is the source of this 74-nucleotide non-coding RNA. Lineage: Eukaryota; Fungi; Ascomycota; Dothideomycetes; Venturiales; Cylindrosympodiaceae. The record is from the annotation of a GenBank genome assembly.